Xenopus tropicalis (tropical clawed frog) is the source of this 443-nucleotide long non-coding RNA. RefSeq lists it as uncharacterized. The record is from RefSeq and is a predicted model, not a curated record. NCBI's taxonomy places the organism in Eukaryota, Metazoa, Chordata, Amphibia, Anura, Pipidae. The transcript has 3 exons.
UUGUGAAUACAUAUUCAGUUAUUUAUGUUCCUUCUGAUUUCUCUAUCCAGCAGAUUCCAUAUACGGAAAUGAGGAUAUAUAGACUGUAAAUUGUACCCAUGUACCUUUGACAAAAGAAGGAGACCAUUAGGCUAAAAGGAGCAGAGUAGUCAGCAAGAAGGGAGAUGCAUUUUAUGCAGCAAAAUCUUUCAUCUGGAAAGAUAACUUUUUUUAAUCAUUUGGAACCACAAACACAGACUUGAUGUAGAAGACCUCCGCAACCUGUAGAUGUUUGCAGGUAAACAAUACAGGGGGAAAUUAACCAACGACCUUUCAAUUUAUGCAACUGGUUGGAGUGCACAAGCAUUGGUCCAAUGGAAAAGAGCAAAGCCUGGAUGUGAUGAUGUAAGCAGGUUCAAAAUAGGCCACUCCCAUCCCUUCAGAAAAUUGAUUAGAGAGACAGA